AUUCUUGAACUCUGGUGAUGCUGCCAUUGUUGACAUGGUCCCUGGCAAGCCCAUGUGUGUUGAGAGAUUCUCUGACUAUCCUACUCUUGGUCGUUUCGCUAUUUGUGACAUGAGGCAGACAGUUGCUGUAGGUGUCAUCAAAGCCGUGGACAAGAAGGCUGCAGGAGAUGGCAAAGUCACCACGUCUGCCCAGAAAACUCAGAAGGCUAAAUGAAUAUUAUCCCUAACAUCUCCCACCCCAGUCUUAAUCAGUGGUGGAAGAACGGUCUCAGAACUGUUUGUCUCGGUUGGCCAUUUAAGUUUAAUAGUAAAAGACUGGUUAACGAUAACAAUGCAUGGUAAAACCUUCAGAAGGAAAGGUUUUGUGGACCUUUGUGUGUGUGUGUGUGUGUGUGUGUAUGUGUGUGUGUGUGUGUGUGUGUGUGUGGCAGUUUUAAGUUAUUAGUUUUCAAAAUCAGUACUUUUUAAUGGAAACAACUUGACCAAAAAUCCGUCACAGAAUUUUGAGACCCAUUAAAACAAAUUUAAUGAAUGAGAAAAAAAAAAUCAAUCAAGAA
This 557-nucleotide long non-coding RNA is filed under the name Rattus norvegicus (Norway rat). RNAcentral describes it as "long non-coding RNA NONRATT000018". Lineage: Eukaryota; Metazoa; Chordata; Mammalia; Rodentia; Muridae. The record is from RNAcentral.